GUUGUCUAAAGGGGGGCUGGAAGAAAGAAGGAGACAGAAUCUUUAGCAGGGUUGUCUGUGGUGACAGGACAAGAAAAAAUGGUUUCAAACUUAAAGUGAUGAGAUUUAUGUUGGAUAUAGGGAAAAAGUCUUUUACAGUGAAAGUGGUGAGGCACUGGAACAGGUUGCCCAGAGAUGUGGUGGAAACUCCAUCCCUGGAGAUGCUCAAGGCCAGACUGGACCAGACUCUGAGUAACCUGAUCGAACUGUGAAUGUCACUGUUCAUUGCAGGGCAGCUGGACCAGAUGGCCUCUAAAGGUCCUUCCAACUUUAAGGAUUUUGUGCUUCACUUCAAAUGUCACCUACCGGUUUUAUGGCCAAUAAUCUUUUUCUUUCCUUUUCAUGCUGAAUCAAAAACACUGAUUUAUAAAAUCUCACAAGAACUUUUCCUCCAAAUUUCAACCCAAAAGAAAUCGUGAAAGACUUUAUCUUGGUUAACUCCGUCAGCUGACUGAGUGCGUGCCCUGCCCUGCUCGGCAUACAAGGAGACCAUUGUUAAUAGUCAGAAAACACCUCAACACUUCAUACAGAAAUCACGUGGGAAGACCUUCAUGGCAACUAGAUGGGUCAGUUGGCAAGGCGAGGACUGAUAGUGAUGGGAAGCUUACUUUGUGUGUUUAUAAUUACCACAAACACCGCUCAGGAUAUUUUUACUUCUUUUUCUUGUGACUCUGCUGUCAGCAAACUCAAAUAUCCUUAUGGCUUCCAGUUUACUGGGAUUUGCAUUUUUCUUGAAAUCCAUGCUAGCAUUAUGACGGAGCACUAUUCCUGUCACCAAGCAGGUGUAACGCUUUUUGAAGAUUCCAAAAAUGGACAAUAAAUCAACUGAGGAAACGAUUUCCUUAUUUUUCCAUCCAAGUAGAAGCUCUGUCUUCACACCUGUGACAAAGGAAGGAAGCGUUCUUUGCCAAGAAUGAUGAUACCAUUGUUUCUGAAAGAGGUGCGGACAAAUCAGAAUACAACUAUUUAAGAGG
This is a non-coding RNA of Coturnix japonica (Japanese quail), 1013 nucleotides long. The record is from RefSeq and is a predicted model, not a curated record. NCBI's taxonomy places the organism in Eukaryota, Metazoa, Chordata, Aves, Galliformes, Phasianidae.